This 484-nucleotide ribosomal RNA is filed under the name uncultured bacterium. Its description in RNAcentral is "partial 16S ribosomal RNA". It matches the Rfam family "Bacterial small subunit ribosomal RNA", at positions 30 to 507 of the family's 1533-position model. The record is from RNAcentral.
AUUGAACGCUAGCGGGAUGCUUUACACAUGCAAGUCGAACGGCAGCGCGGACUUCGGUCUGGCGGCGAGUGGCGAACGGGUGAGUAAUGUAUCGGAACGUGCCCAGUAGCGGGGGAUAACUACGCGAAAGCGUAGCUAAUACCGCAUACGCCCUACGGGGGAAAGCAGGGGAUCGUAAGACCUUGCACUAUUGGAGCGGCGGAUAUCGGAUUAGCUAGUUGGUGAGGUAACGGCUCACCAAGGCGACGAUCCGUAGCUGGUUUGAGAGGACGACCAGCCACACUGGGACUGAGACACGGCCCAGACUCCUACGGGAGGCAGCAGUGGGGAAUGUUGGACAAUGGGGGCAACCCUGAUCCAGCCAUCCCGCGUGUGUGAUGAAGGCCUUCGGGUUGUAAAGCACUUUUGGCAGGAAAGAAACGUCGCGGGCUAAUACCCCGUGGAACUGACGGUACCUGCAGAAUAAGCACCGGCUAACUACGUG